UAAUCUUGUGAAGACAAAGCUGAUAAAUACUUAAAACUUCAAAAUGGAUAAACGGGCCAAAAGAGCUGCAAAUACAAAAAAUUACACCAAUAUCCCCUAUCAAAUGCCAUUCAAAAGGCUCAAAAAGUUUCUAACAUUAUCGGGAGCAGAUUUUCAAUUUUUAUUUUGUGCUCUCCUUUUCUCUCUUUUAGGGUUCCAACAGCAGCGACGACCUUCAUCCACCUCCUCCGCCUCUAUCGCUGUGAAAUCAUCAUCGCCAUCUGUUACUUCAAUUAAGCAGGUGAUUCAGCUUUCGCGGUUGCCAAUCAUCUAAACUCAACUACUUUUCUUUUUCCUGCAGAGUCUUGAUGCUUUGUUGAGCAAGAAGGCUAUUGCAAUUCCAGCACCGGUUUCACUGCUCUUAGGAGGCGAGCUUGAUUUCUCCAGAACAAUUAUAUCACAUUCUGCUAUCAUGAGGUGCGCAUGAAAUUCCAAUUUUGAUUUUGACAAUGUUGCUUCAGCUGUUAAUAUAGCAUACGAGAAAGGAGCUACUCAUGUAGCUAUAACUUGUAACAGAGAACUAGUGAAGCUUCCGGAACUUUACAAGAGAAUGAGUUCUUACUUCUUUUUGACUAUCCAUGGUAGUUUAUGGCAUUUCCCAUUCUAUAUGAGUUGCUUUCUCAUUAUAAAUACAGGAGUUAAUUGUACCAAGUUUUACCUUCAUAAACUUUAAGCAAUAUAUGAAUAAUUUAGUCUCCCUUGUUUGAGAUACAAGAUAUAGAGCUUAACAUCCAAGUCCAAAUGACCAAAUAUUCCAUUAUCUCGAGGGGUGGUAAAUUGCAUAUGCAAUUAAUUGGGCAUGCAGUGGAUAAUGGUGGGCAUCGUGAAAAUGGAAGACUCAAAGUUUAGGUUUUCAAUUAUUUGAUUAUAUAUAAUGGGCAUGCAAUGGAUAAACAUAGCCUGAUUGCUUAUCCAACCAUCACUCUUGGCAGCUUUGAUGCAUUCACUCCAGUUAAUUUUAUUUGUAAAGCUUUAAGUAUGGGACUAACAUUGUAAUUAUUUAUGCAGGUAAAGUUUGAUGAAAAUGUACUAAUACAUUGUCUUUUGAUGAAUUUCUCUUAACCAUUUGUUUAUGUGCUUGGAUGGAAGAAGUAGAAGCGCAGUGUGCAUUACUAAACUCCGGAUCAUUAUGUCAAAUUCAGUUCUAAUAACUGAACAAGAACAAAGGCAAACAAAGUGAAAAUUCGGAUUCUGAAACGUUAAAAUUCGGUUCUGAAAGCGCUAUUUUGAGUGACAUCUCCUCUAGUCAAGAUUUCAGGAAGAUAUUUGUGGAAAAUGAUUCCGUAGCAGAAGAGACGCUCAAUGUUUAGUAGUAUAAUCGUUAUUUUUUAAGAAUAUUUUGGUGAAUAUUUUCUUUUUGUGAUGUAAUGGAUGGAUGGAAUAUCUUUAGACUUUGAAUUUUAUGAAUAUUUUUCCAUUUUCAA
This is a long non-coding RNA of Mercurialis annua (annual mercury), 1463 nucleotides long. RefSeq lists it as uncharacterized. NCBI's taxonomy places the organism in Eukaryota, Viridiplantae, Streptophyta, Magnoliopsida, Malpighiales, Euphorbiaceae. The record is from RefSeq and is a predicted model, not a curated record. The transcript has 7 exons.